Molecule: long non-coding RNA, 756 nt
Organism: Gasterosteus aculeatus aculeatus (three-spined stickleback)
Lineage: Eukaryota; Metazoa; Chordata; Actinopteri; Perciformes; Gasterosteidae
Source: RefSeq, a predicted model, not a curated record
GUUCAAGAACGAAUUCAAGCUCUGGUGACAAAAAAGUAACACUCCGUUUGGAUCUAACGCUGCCCCUCCAAUGCCUCGACAUCAAGGUGGUCACCUGUCGUUACUGUUCCAUAGACACCAAAUAUGUGUAUCCAAAUGUAUUCUGUUAUGAAGAAGCUGGAAAGGACACCACUGGAGGAGACUCUGGAGGUGGAGUGAUGUACGGAGGCAAACUUUAUGGGGUCCAUGUAUUAGGUGGUACGAAGCUCUGCACAACACAAGCUACAGCAGUGAAGGUCUGUGAGAAGAUCUACUUGGAUUGGAUCAAGAAGACGACUGGAAUCCAAAUACCAUGACAUGAACAAGUAGCAUGAUCUUUACUUUAACAUGUUCUGUCUUUAACAGGAAUUUCAUCAGCAUUCAGAAAAUUGUUGAGUUACUCUGAGUUUGCUAUUAAUAAUAAUUAAUACAUAUAGCAUUGAUUAAAUGUUUGUAAAGCCCUUUAAUACAAAUAAUAACUGUCAUUCUAUGACUUUAUUUAUUGUCCUGUCUGAAUUAUAAGUCUUAGUUUACACAUUAAUAAUAAUUAAUAAUAAUCAAAAUGUAUCAAAACACGUCUGUAGAUUUUAAAUAUCUGAUUUUACAGUAAUUUUACUGGAGGAAAACAGCCCCAAACAUAAUAGUCUGCUGUCCUUUCAACAAUAUUGAUCAUUAUUGCAAUAAUGUCUCCUCUUGUACAAUCUGGUCAGUUUGAAUAAAAUGAAGAUGACUCACAAA